UCCUUAGUAGCUCAAUGGUGGAGCAAUCGGCUGUUAACUGAUUGGAUGUAGGUUCGAAUCCUACCUAAGGAG
RNAcentral lists this transfer RNA (72 nucleotides) under Trachelomonas grandis. RNAcentral's name for it is "tRNA-Asn". It matches the Rfam family "tRNA". Rfam says of the family: Transfer RNA (tRNA) molecules are approximately 80 nucleotides in length. Their secondary structure includes four short double-helical elements and three loops (D, anti-codon, and T loops). The record is from RNAcentral. Lineage: Eukaryota; Euglenozoa; Euglenophyceae; Euglenales; Euglenaceae.